RNAcentral lists this microRNA precursor (89 nucleotides) under Marmota monax (woodchuck). The record is from RNAcentral. Lineage: Eukaryota; Metazoa; Chordata; Mammalia; Rodentia; Sciuridae.
AAUGGAAUUGCUGGUCAUUGCUAACUUUUUGAAGAACUGCCAAACUAUUUUCCAAAGUAUCUGCACCAUUUUACAUUUUCGUCAGCAAU